UUUCUUCCUAGGUUUUGGCCUUUCUAGGGAGUUUUUCCUAGCCACCGUGCUUCUACACCUGCAUUGCUUGCUGUUUGGGGUUUUAGGCUGGGUUUCUGUACAGCACUUUGAGAUAUCAGCUGAUGUACGAAGGGCUAUAUAAAGAAAUUAGAUUUGAUUUGAUUUGAUAGACCUGUUUUUACCCACCAAUCAACACACAGAGAAAUAAACAAAACAUUAUAAUUUAAUAGAGAUAUUGGUGAUUUUAUAAACUAAAUCUGAUCAAAAUUAUAUUUUGUCAAUGAAAUGAAUGAAUGUAUUGUGUACUAAUCAAAUAUAUUAAACAUGUCGUUAAAUUUGUAGUGUAGACCUUUUCACUGUGCAAAUAUUAUAUGUUAAUUAUGUUCUGACCCACCGACUUUAACUCAGAAAACAAUUGUCCCGAAGCCAAACCUAGUUGACAAACCCUGUUUUAUAGUAUUCCAUGGCCUUUACUGGCCAACUGCUGUUAUGAUUAUGAUAUACUAUGGUGUUGUGUCACUAGACUUUGACCAGAUAUUAUUACAUCCAAAGAUCAACUGAACCUAGAACAUAGAUACAGAGACACUUGUCAUCAGGAAGGUGAUCUCUCAGCACAACGGAAAAUAUCUCAAUGACUUGACAUGUUCUGGUUGUGAAUUCAGGCUACAAGGUUGGAUCUCUGUUUAGGGGUCAGUUCUCUAAAAUGAGUCUCUCUGGAGCGAGAAAGAAGGGGGGCCCUGCCUCUAAAAUGAGACUCUCUGGGGAACAUGACACCAAAGCUAAGAGGUGAGAUUACAAUGUUGUUUGUUUCUAAAACGUGUUUCCACCAUUUUUUCACAUGUGUUAUUUAUCAGUCAGUAUUGCUUAGGGGAACCUUGUCUGUAAAAUAUUGUUGUUCUAAGAUUUUAAUUCAUAGUUUUUUGUGUAUGAAUUUUUGUUUUUCAAAACGUUAUAUAGCUGGAAUGGAAUGUUUGUAUCCUGU
Long non-coding RNA from Oncorhynchus nerka (sockeye salmon), 982 nucleotides. RefSeq lists it as uncharacterized. The record is from RefSeq and is a predicted model, not a curated record. The transcript is spliced from 2 exons. Lineage: Eukaryota; Metazoa; Chordata; Actinopteri; Salmoniformes; Salmonidae.